Molecule: ribosomal RNA, 253 nt
Filed under: uncultured bacterium
Lineage: Bacteria
Description: partial 16S ribosomal RNA
Rfam family: Bacterial small subunit ribosomal RNA
Source: RNAcentral
UACGUAGGGUGCAAGCGUUAAUCGGAAUUACUGGGCGUAAAGCGUGCGCAGGCGGUUCGGAAAGAAAGAUGUGAAAUCCCAGAGCUUAACCUUGGAAUGGCACUUUUAACUCCCGAGCUAGAGUAUGUCAGAGGGGGGUAGAAUUCCACGUGUAGCAGUGAAAUGCGUAGAGAUGUGGAGGAAUACCGAUGGCGAAGGCAGCCCCCUGGGAUAAUACUGACGCUCAGGCACGAAAGCGUGGGGAGCAAACAGG